GUCUGAAUGUUGGAUGUUGUGUAUCUCGUGUUCUCUGGGCUUUGUUGUCCUCAGUCUUUUUGCAGGCUCAGAAAACAAAACCAGGAGGCCUGUAAAUGUUUCUUCUCCAAUUGGAUGAUGAUAAGACUGUGACACGGGAUGCCACCUUUAGUCUUGUGAUGAAGCAAAGCUCAGGAAGAAGUGUGAUUAAAUGGUACCCACAUGUGUGCUGCUGAGAAGGAUGUACAGGGGCACCUGCAGCCAAAUCCAAGCCUCCUCAGGAGAUACUGUUAGAGAGAGACGAUCCGAGUCAUCCUUAAAUAUGGGCAGGAUAUCAGUCUUGGACUGUCUAACCUGCCGGAGCAGCACUGAAUGAUCACCACACAUGAGCAUGUUCCUGCAACAUUCAGCAUCUGAUCUGCCAUCUGUGUGCUUCUGCUUUUGUGUCAAAUGUCAACCAGCUGGAGAGGAAACUACACCAGUGUACUGGGAUGUUUCAGCAACACGUGCCAGAUGCUGUUCCUUCAUGGUGACAUCACCAGAGACAGCCCCGCCCACCUCAGGACCUCGCCAUUGAUCAUGAUGAUUAUAAUGAUGACAGCGAGCGGAACUAAGACUGUAAAAAUCCACGACCAGAAUGUUUAGAUGCUUUCUAAUUAUUCAUGAAUACUGAGAGCCUCUUUCUGUGUUUUGUCUGUUUUGGUUUUUUUACCUCAUUUGUUACUAACAAAGUUCACCAAACUCACUCAGUUUACAUUCUGUAUGUUUCCAUCUUUACCAGCCACACUCUUAACUGCAAUUAAGAAAACAAACCGUAGAAAUUGUCGUUUUUCUCUUUUGUAAUUGAUGAUAAUUCAGUGAAUAUACGGCGC
This is a long non-coding RNA of Oreochromis aureus, 851 nucleotides long. The record is from Ensembl. Lineage: Eukaryota; Metazoa; Chordata; Actinopteri; Cichliformes; Cichlidae.